RNAcentral lists this ribosomal RNA (254 nucleotides) under uncultured bacterium. RNAcentral describes it as "partial 16S ribosomal RNA". It matches the Rfam family "Bacterial small subunit ribosomal RNA", at positions 524 to 776 of the family's 1533-position model. The record is from RNAcentral.
UACGUAGGGGGCAAGCGUUGUCCGGAUUUAUUGGGCGUAAAGAGCGUGUAGGCGGCUUGACAGGUCUGCUGUGAAAACUCGAGGCUCAACCUCGAGAUGUCGGCGGAAACCGUCUGGCUAGAGUCCGGGAAGAGGAGAGUGGAAUUCCUGGUGUAGCGGUGAAAUGCGCAGAUAUCAGGAAGAACACCUAUGGCGAAGGCAGCUCUCUGGGACGGUAUUGACGCUGAGACGCGAAAGCGUGGGGAGCGAACAGG